AUAGUUAGCCAUGCUCUGAAAACGUGUCCUCUGUAAUGUCUAUUUGACAGGUAAGCAGGCUAGUUAGACAUAUAGAAUUAGGAUGGUGAUUAAAUAUGAUGUGUAGGUGGGAUAUGGAUGCCUAUUAGAAAUACCCACGAAGGGACUUUCAUAUUUAUUUUGAUAACGUCAUAUCACUGGCUAACGUUAGCUAGAUUGCUAGCGAGUUGCUAACGUUAGCAUAGCCAUAGCUCCCGCGGUCUGAACCCAUUGUUCUGUAGCUUGGCUUUGACAUUGUCUGUAUGUGUGAUUAGUCUCCAUUUACUAUGUUUAGUGUCUCCACACUGUGUAAAUAUGAAGGUAGGCCUAUGUGUGUUGCUAUUGUGAUCCCCCCAUGUUCCGUAACGUUAUAUACUGUUUAGCUUUGCUAGCGGUAGGCUAGACUAAUGUGAAUUUAUGGAAGAAUAUAUUUGGUGCUCUUAUUGUGUAUAAAUUGGAGAUGAGUGUUGCCGUUCGUAUAGUGAGCCGUGCUCUGAAAACGUGUCCUCUGUAAUGUCUAUUUGACAGAUGGAGUAAAACAACAAAAACACCAGCCCUUGAUCUAUUGCCACUAUCCAGAUGAAAUGAGAAGAAAAGGCCACUUCUUCAGUUUGGCACUUGC
Long non-coding RNA from Lampris incognitus (smalleye Pacific opah), 640 nucleotides. RefSeq lists it as uncharacterized. NCBI's taxonomy places the organism in Eukaryota, Metazoa, Chordata, Actinopteri, Lampriformes, Lampridae. The transcript has 3 exons. The record is from RefSeq and is a predicted model, not a curated record.